GGUCCUAUGGUGUAAUGGUUAGCACUCUGGACUUUGAAUCCAGCGAUACGAGUUCAAAUCUCGGUAGGACCU
RNAcentral lists this transfer RNA (72 nucleotides) under Saccoglossus kowalevskii. Its description in RNAcentral is "tRNA-Gln". It matches the Rfam family "tRNA". From Rfam's summary of the family: Transfer RNA (tRNA) molecules are approximately 80 nucleotides in length. Their secondary structure includes four short double-helical elements and three loops (D, anti-codon, and T loops). The record is from RNAcentral. Lineage: Eukaryota; Metazoa; Hemichordata; Enteropneusta; Harrimaniidae.